UUGUAUGACUCUCGGCAAUGGAUAUCUUGGCUCUUGCAUCGAUGAAGAGCGCAGCGAAAUGCGAUACGUGGUGUGAAUUGCAGAAUCCCGUGAACCAUCAAGUCUUUAAACGCAAGUUGCGCCCGAGGCCAAUUGGCUAAGGGCACGUCCGCCU
Molecule: ribosomal RNA, 154 nt
Filed under: Odontochilus elwesii
Lineage: Eukaryota; Viridiplantae; Streptophyta; Magnoliopsida; Asparagales; Orchidaceae
Description: 5.8S ribosomal RNA
Rfam family: 5.8S ribosomal RNA
About the family: 5.8S ribosomal RNA (5.8S rRNA) is a component of the large subunit of the eukaryotic ribosome.
Source: RNAcentral